UGGGGAAUAUUGGACAAUGGGGGCAACCCUGAUCCAGCCAUGCCGCGUGAGUGAAGAAGGCCUUCGGGUUGUAAAGCUCUUUUGUCAGGGAAGAAACGGUAGUAGCGAAUAACUACUACUAAUGACGGUACCUGAAGAAUAAGCACCGGCUAACUACGUGCCAGCAGCCGCGGUAAUACGUAGGGUGCAAGCGUUAAUCGGAAUUACUGGGCGUAAAGCGUGCGCAGGCGGUUGUGUAAGUCAGAUGUGAAAUCCCCGGGCUCAACCUGGGAAUUGCAUUUGAGACUGCACGGCUAGAGUGUGUCAGAGGGGGGUAGAAUUCCACGUGUAGCAGUGAAAUGCGUAGAUAUGUGGAGGAAUACCGAUGGCGAAGGCAGCCCCCUGGGAUAACACUGACGCUCAUGCACGAAAGCGUGGGGAGCAAACAGGAUUAGAUACCCACGUAGUCCCUGAGCGGGCUGGCAAGGCGCAU
This 472-nucleotide ribosomal RNA is filed under the name uncultured bacterium. RNAcentral describes it as "bacterial SSU rRNA". It matches the Rfam family "Bacterial small subunit ribosomal RNA", at positions 355 to 825 of the family's 1533-position model. The record is from RNAcentral.